AAAUAUUUCCAAUGGUGAAACACUUUUUUUAAGUUCUCUAUAAUUUAAGGGACACUUAGCAAUGAACAAAGCUUAAUUAAGUCGGGUUUAUUCUUAAAUUGGUGCAACUGGUGUUCUAGUGUAUCAUACAUUUUUGCAUCCGUGUUACCAUAGAUACCCGCACUGUACGCGGAUUAAACUGUAUAUCCACUGCAUAAUAACGCUAAAAUCACAAGGAAAUAAUAGUACUGUAGCGUUUUAACUUUACCAAAAAUACAAAAAUC
Non-coding RNA from Cinara cedri, 263 nucleotides. NCBI's taxonomy places the organism in Eukaryota, Metazoa, Arthropoda, Insecta, Hemiptera, Aphididae. The record is from the annotation of a GenBank genome assembly.